UUUAACUGAAGAGUUUGAUCAUGGCUCAGAUUGAACGCUGGCGGCAGGCUUAACACAUGCAAGUCGAGCGGGGGAAGGUAGCUUGCUACUGGACCUAGCGGCGGACGGGUGAGUAAUGCUUAGGAAUCUGCCUAUUAGUGGGGGACAACAUCUCGAAAGGGAUGCUAAUACCGCAUACGUCCUACGGGAGAAAGCAGGGGAUCUUCGGACCUUGCGCUAAUAGAUGAGCCUAAGUCGGAUUAGCUAGUUGGUGGGGUAAAGGCCUACCAAGGCGACGAUCUGUAGCGGGUCUGAGAGGAUGAUCCGCCACACUGGGACUGAGACACGGCCCAGACUCCUACGGGAGGCAGCAGUGGGGAAUAUUGGACAAUGGGGGGAACCCUGAUCCAGCCAUGCCGCGUGUGUGAAGAAGGCCUUAUGGUUGUAAAGCACUUUAAGCGAGGAGGAGGCUACUUUAGUUAAUACCUAGAGAUAGUGGACGUUACUCGCAGAAUAAGCACCGGCUAACUCUGUGCCAGCAGCCGCGGUAAUACAGAGGGUGCGAGCGUUAAUCGGAUUUACUGGGCGUAAAGCGUGCGUAGGCGGCUUAUUAAGUCGGAUGUGAAAUCCCCGAGCUUAACUUGGGAAUUGCAUUCGAUACUGGUGAGCUAGAGUAUGGGAGAGGAUGGUAGAAUUCCAGGUGUAGCGGUGAAAUGCGUAGAGAUCUGGAGGAAUACCGAUGGCGAAGGCAGCCAUCUGGCCUAAUACUGACGCUGAGGUACGAAAGCAUGGGGAGCAAACAGGAUUAGAUACCCUGGUAGUCCAUGCCGUAAACGAUGUCUACUAGCCGUUGGGGCCUUUGAGGCUUUAGUGGCGCAGCUAACGCGAUAAGUAGACCGCCUGGGGAGUACGGUCGCAAGACUAAAACUCAAAUGAAUUGACGGGGGCCCGCACAAGCGGUGGAGCAUGUGGUUUAAUUCGAUGCAACGCGAAGAACCUUACCUGGCCUUGACAUACUAGAAACUUUCCAGAGAUGGAUUGGUGCCUUCGGGAAUCUAGAUACAGGUGCUGCAUGGCUGUCGUCAGCUCGUGUCGUGAGAUGUUGGGUUAAGUCCCGCAACGAGCGCAACCCUUUUCCUUACUUGCCAGCAUUUCGGAUGGGAACUUUAAG
RNAcentral lists this ribosomal RNA (1150 nucleotides) under Acinetobacter baumannii. RNAcentral describes it as "bacterial SSU rRNA". It matches the Rfam family "Bacterial small subunit ribosomal RNA", at positions 1 to 1144 of the family's 1533-position model. Lineage: Bacteria; Pseudomonadati; Pseudomonadota; Gammaproteobacteria; Moraxellales; Moraxellaceae. The record is from RNAcentral.